UUAAUUGAAACCAAAAAAGAGGUAAAUUAUUGUUAAUAAUUUAAUUGAAAUUAUUUUCCAAUUGAA
This 66-nucleotide transfer RNA is filed under the name Dryinus sp. ZJUH_2016011. RNAcentral's name for it is "tRNA-Asn". Lineage: Eukaryota; Metazoa; Arthropoda; Insecta; Hymenoptera; Dryinidae. The record is from RNAcentral.